RNAcentral lists this ribosomal RNA (253 nucleotides) under uncultured bacterium. RNAcentral's name for it is "partial 16S ribosomal RNA". It matches the Rfam family "Bacterial small subunit ribosomal RNA", at positions 524 to 776 of the family's 1533-position model. The record is from RNAcentral.
UACGUAGGGUGCGAGCGUUAAUCGGAAUUACUGGGCGUAAAGCGUGCGCAGGCGGUUUUGUAAGCCAGGGGUGAAAUCCCCGGGCUCAACCUGGGAAUGGCAUUUGGGACUGCAAGGCUGGAGUGCGGCAGAGGAGACUGGAAUUCCUGGUGUAGCAGUGAAAUGCGUAGAUAUCAGGAGGAAUACCGAUGGCGAAGGCAGGUCUCUGGGCUGACACUGACGCUCAUGCACGAAAGCGUGGGGAGCAAACAGG